CCUACGGGAGGCAGCAGUGAGGAAUAUUGGUCAAUGGUCGGGAGACUGAACCAGCCAAGCCGCGUGCGGGAGGAAGGUACAGAGUAUCGUAAACCUCUUUUGUCAGGGAACAAAGACUGGGACGCGUCCCCGGAUGAGAGUACCGUACGAAAAAGCAUCGGCUAACUCCGUGCCAGCAGCCGCGGUAAUACGGAGGAUGCGAGCGUUAUCCGGAUUUAUUGGGGUUAAAGGGUGCGGAGGCGGUUCGUUAAGUCAGCGGUGAAAGCCCGGGGCUCAACCCCGGCCCCGCCUUUGAGACUGGCAGGCUCGAGGUGAGGUGCGGUAUGCGGAAUGCACGGUGUAGCGGUGAAAUGCAUAGAUAUCGCACAGAACUCCGAUUGCGAAGGCAGCAUGCCAGCUCCACACUGACGCUGAGGCACGAAAGCGUGGGUAUCGAACAGGAUUAGAUACCCGUGUAGUC
This 460-nucleotide ribosomal RNA is filed under the name uncultured bacterium. Its description in RNAcentral is "partial 16S ribosomal RNA". It matches the Rfam family "Bacterial small subunit ribosomal RNA", at positions 338 to 795 of the family's 1533-position model. The record is from RNAcentral.